RNAcentral lists this ribosomal RNA (260 nucleotides) under uncultured archaeon. RNAcentral describes it as "partial 16S ribosomal RNA". It matches the Rfam family "Archaeal small subunit ribosomal RNA", at positions 719 to 982 of the family's 1478-position model. The record is from RNAcentral.
AGUCACUGACAUUAGAUACCCGGGUAGUCCUAGGCGUAAAUGAUGCGAGUUAAGUNUGGGGCAUCUACGAGAUGGCCCUGUGCUGUAGGGUAGCCGUUAAACUCGCUGCCUGGGAGUACGGUCGCAAGGCUGAAACUUAAAGGAAUUGCGGGGAGCACCACAAGAGGUGGAGGCUGCGGUUCAAUUGGACUCAACGCCGGAAACUCAUCGGGAGCGACAGCAGUAUGAUUGCCAGGUUGAUGACCUUGCUUGACAAGCUG